Molecule: long non-coding RNA, 3230 nt
Organism: Ctenopharyngodon idella (grass carp)
Lineage: Eukaryota; Metazoa; Chordata; Actinopteri; Cypriniformes; Xenocyprididae
Exons: 3
Source: RefSeq, a predicted model, not a curated record
UUUCAUAAUCUACCGUUAAAUGAAAAUGUGAGGGGGAAUUUAUGAUUGAUGAUAAGGAGCAGACGGUGCGAUUGGUGCUGAUAACGUACGAAUGAGAUGACCUAGAUUCUAAAUUAUUAUACAAUUUAUGUAAAAAUAGAAGUAAAAUAUUAAAAUUCAAAGCAGCAUUCAAGGGGCUGCAGUUUAUUUCAGUUAAAAUGUUUCAAAAAGCAAAGAUGAUUUUUAUUAAUUAACAAAAGUGAUGAAUAACUUCCCAUUCUGCUUUAACCUAGAGCAGGGGUUCCCAACCACAUUCUUGGAGCCCCUCAACACUGCGCAUUUUACAUGUCUCUUGUCUUAAUUUUUUCCCACAAUUGCGAGUUUACAUCUCGCAAUUCUGACUUAUUUUCUCAGAACUACAUGAUAUAAAGUCGCGAUUGCGAGUUAUAAAGUCAGAAUUACGUGAUAUAAAGUCACAGUUGCGAGUUAUAAAGUCAGAAUUGCAUAAUAUAAAGUCACAGUUGCGAGUUAUAAAGUCAGAAUUACGUGAUAUAAAGUCACAGUUGCGAGUUAUAAAGUCAGAAUUGCGAUAUAAAGUCACAAUUGCGUGUUAUAAAGUCAGAAUUGCGAUAUAAAGUCACAAUUGCGUGUUAUAAAGUCAGAAUUGCGAUAUAAAGUCACAAUUGCAUGUUAUAAAGUCAAAAUUGAUAUAAACUCGCAGUUUUGAAAAAAAAAGUCAGUCUUUUUUCCUCAGAAUUGGACUUUAUAAUUUGCAAUUGCAAGUUUAUAUCUCACAAUUCUGAGAAAAGAAGUCAGAAUUGCAAGAUAUAAACUCACAAUUGCGAGAAAAGUCAGAAUUGCGAGGAAAAAAAAGUCAGAAAUGCAAAAUAUAAACCCACAAUAGUGAAGAAAAAGUCAGAAUUGUGAGUUUAUAUCUUGCAAUUUUGAGAUAAAAAGUCGUAAUUAUCUUUAAAAAACUUUUAUUCUGUGGUGAAAACAAGCUUCCAUACUAUAGGCAAUGGCCAAAUAGUACAUACUUUCUGUGCCUGUGUGAGAGAAAAUAACUCUCCAUACCAGCAGGUGGCAGUAGUCUGUACAAGGGAAAUGAACCGAAGAUGAAAAAUGAUAAGAGUCUUCUUUGUGUGUCCUCUUGACUUCGUAGUUUGCUUGCUUUCAUCACUUCGGGGUUUUUUUUUCGUACACUAGUUCGCUAAGCUAAAUCGGGGGUGCGUUUCCCAAAAGUAUCGUAAAGCCAACUAUGUUUGCAAUUUCUGCUGAGCUCUGUUGGUAAUGACCGAACUUGUGACCAUAGUUGCUUUUGGGAAAUGCACCCCGGAGUGAUCUCUCUCACCGACAGGCUCCGCCACCAAUUCAACAUGCUCAAUCAUCCGAAAAGCCUCCACCGGCAGUCCUAGUAGUGCCGACAGUGUGAAACACACAGAAAAAAUAAGACUGACAGAUUCUCAACAACUUUGGCUCACUUUGCAUUGGCUGACUGUCAGCUUGGUGUGUCACAGCCUUAACAGAAAGACGUUUAUUAACACGAGAAAUGAUUUUGAAGCCAAUCUACUAUAAAUGCCUAUUCACACCAAGAACAAAGUAAAAAAAUGCAGAUGAAAGAGCAAGAAAAGAAGCACUCCGGAUUCUGGGAAAAAAUAGCAAAAAAAAAAAAAAAAUGCUGGUCCCUGGUCCUGGCAUGCAAAUCUCAUUGUUCAGUGAUUUCCAAAUGAAGAAAGAAAAAAAAUGUGUUAACUCAUUAUGGACGUACAAAAUUUCAUUUUUCGUCUCUGCAUUUCCCAAAAGCAUUAUAAGCAUAAUUUGAUCGUAACAAGAGACCAUUGGUGCCAGUGCUUUCUACCAUCUACUUAAAGGGUUAGUUCACCCAAAAAUGAAAUGUUACGCUGCAUGUUUGAGCUUCCUCAAGAACCAAUGAGGUUCAUUCUCGUGUUACGCAGCAUGUUUGAGCUUCCUCAAGAACCAAUGAGGUUCAUUCUCGUGUUACGCAGCAUGUUUGAGCUUCCUCAAGAACCAAUGAGGUUCAUUCUCGUGUUACGCAGCAUGUUUGAGCUUCCUCAAGAACCAAUGAGGUUCAUUCUCGUGUUACGCAGCACGUUUGAGCUUCCGGAAGAACCAAUGAGGUUCAUUCUCGUGUUACGCAGCACGUUUGAGCUUCCGCAAGAACCAGUGAGGUUCAUUCUCGUGUGUUACGCAGCACGUUUGAGCUUCCGCAAGAACCAAUGAGGUUCAUUCUCCUGUGUUACGCAGCACAUUUGAGCUUCCGCAAGAACCAAUGAGGUUCAUUCUCCUGUGUUACGCAGCACGUUUGAGCUUCCGGAAGAACCAAUGAGGUUCAUUCUCGUGUUACGCAGCACGUUUGAGCUUCCGCAAGAACCAGUGAGGUUCAUUCUCCUGUGUUACGCAGCACGUUUGAGCUUCCGGAAGAACCAAUGAGGUUCAUUCUCCUGUGUUACGCAGCACGUUUGAGCUUCCGCAAGAACCAGUGAGGUUCAUUCUCGUGUGUUACGCAGCACGUUUGAGCUUCCGCAAGAACCAAUGAGGUUCAUUCUCCUGUGUUACGCAGCACGUUUGAGCUUCCGCAAGAACCAAUGAGGUUCAUUCUCCUGUGUUACGCAGCACGUUUGAGCUUCCGCAAGAACCAAUAAGGUUCAUUCUCGUGUUACGCAGCACGUUUGAGCUUCCGGAAGAACCAAUGAGGUUCAUUCUCCUGUUACGCAGCACGUUUGAGCUUCCGCAAGAACCAAUGAGGUUCAUUCUCGUGUUACGCAGCAUGUUUGAGCUUCCGGAGGAACCAAUGAGGUUCAUCCUCUGUGUUACGCAGCAUGUUUGAGCUUCCUCAAGAGGUUUGUUCUUGUGCACCAAGCAGGUUCAGUUAAGCUUUUGUUUAUGUUCGCUAAGAAAUGUUUAUAUGUGAAUAAAAGCUUAAAUGAAAUCUUUUCAUCAUUUAAAGCAAUUGAAUCUCUUCAGAAAAUUUGGACUAAACCACUCAGUUCAUAUGGAUUAGUUUUGUGAUCUCUUUAUGAACUUUUUGAAACAUAAAAGUGUCAGUUGUGUAGCUGUCUGUGGAAGGUGAAUAAUUAAUGACAGAAUUUUCAUUUUUGGGUAAAUUAUCCCUUUAAGCUUUAUCCCUUUAAGCCUGAAUAGGCUUUGAGAGAAUGUUUGAGAGAAAUAGAGAAAACGGUGCAUUUCUCUCAAAGCGUGAGAUCAUUCCAAAAUUGAUAAUUUCAUGUGAU